This is an RNA transcript of Hypanus sabinus (Atlantic stingray), 4945 nucleotides long. It is a transcript of the gene named nodal-like, with no coding region annotated. Lineage: Eukaryota; Metazoa; Chordata; Chondrichthyes; Myliobatiformes; Dasyatidae. The transcript has 5 exons. The record is from RefSeq and is a predicted model, not a curated record.
CUGUAGAACACAGAAAAUACAAGUAUAACUUCUGUUGCUUUACAAAUCUAAUUACUACCUGUCAUAUUGAAUGGGCAGAAUUAGUAAAAUAAUUACUUUCGAUGUGUCUGGGAUGGUGUGUGGGUGAUGCGCAUGAAAUGGUUCUAUAUAAGGAGUGCGCGGUCACACACAUCGAGAUCAGUCGACAUGCAAUUCCUAACCACAGUGUUUCUGGUGGCUAUUAUCCCAGUGAUCCUGGGAAACACAAGGGGCAACAGGACGUGGCGUUUGUUGGAAACCAAACCAGGCCCCCCGCCGACCCAAAAGGAAGUAGCUGCGUUCAUCCAGCAGCUGGAGGCUCGAAACGUCAGCCUGAAUCUCCCCUCGUAUAUGAUCAACCUGUACCGCAGUUUCAACUCGGGGAACUAUACUGGUCUCUCCACUCACGAAAGGCCAGUGUUACCGGAGGCGGACACCGUACGGAGCCUGGUUGCAAAGAGUUUCCGUCACAAUGGGAGCCGGUGGAUUGUCACCUUUGACAUGUCCGCACUUGCAUCCGACGAGAAGCUUCAGUUCGCGGAGUUGAGGAUCACCUCGCCCGCCUUUGCCGAAUCCUGCUCGCUCUUGGAAAUCCACCACCGGUCUCAGUACCUGUGUGGACCCGCCAUCUGCCAAGACCAGUUUUUCUUGGGAUCCUUUCCUCCCGAUGUAGUGCUGGAGGACACGGCGGAGUGCGCCGUUUACAACGUUACCAACAUCCUGCAACACUGGAUGAAUCGCAACACGUCUGGUUCUGGUGGUGGACGGGGUGGCGCGCAGCGGCCGGAGAGGCUGGUCUGCAAGAGGAAGCGGUCGCUGCCUGAAGUCAACGCGAGGGGCAAGCUGGAGAGGAAGGAGAUGGCCUUGCUGUUGAUUUUCUCCAAGAGACCCCAGCAGAAUUGCUCCGAGAGCUCUUCCCUUCUGAAAGACGCAAAGGGCUCCAAGCGAGUGCGGAAGCCCCGAAGAAAGAAGAGUCGCCGGCUAAAACAGAACAGAAAGAAAGGCCGGGGUAGAGCUGGGCACAGCGGAAUCCCCAAGUAUCGACGCCCCCGGCACCACAUUAAGGGAAACAACUCGACCCUUUGUCGGAGGAUCAAGUUUGAAAUUAAAUUUGGUAAGAUCGGCUGGGGUGCCUGGGUCAUCUUCCCUAAAGUGUACAAUGCUUUCCGCUGCGAAGGAGAGUGUCCGAUUCCAGCUGGGGAGGAUGUUAAACCCACCAAUCAUGCUUACAUGCAGAGUUUGCUCAAAUUUCAUCAUCCAACCUUGGUGCCCUCUCCCUGUUGUGUCCCCACAAAAAUGAACCCACUGAGCAUGCUGUACAUAGAAAAGGGUGAGGUGGUUCUGCACCACCAUGAGAACAUGGUGGUACGAGAGUGUGGCUGUCGUUGAGCUAACUCCCUACACUGACUGCUUUCGUCAAGACUUAAGGCUGCGAGGUACCGGCAUGUUUGAGCGGCUGGGCAUUACAGAUUGCUCUGCAGUGGUGUGCUUCUACAGCUGACUGGCCAAGCAGUCCUGGGCACUGCUGGGUGGAGUAAACAAAAGUAAUUGCUCCUGGAAGUCAAAGUACACGGACAUAUUUUUAGAACUGGGUGAAAACGGUUAAGCAGUCAAAUACUCACCAGGAACUGUCCAAUGGUAAAGGCACUACAUCCAGAAAGAAGUUUCUGCCUGCUCAGAAAAAAAGUUGAAGAUGGAAGGGGGCAAGCAGAUGCAAAAAAAAAUCUGCUUUGAUACUCUGCCACAAAUAUUCUCUGCCUAAAGAUUAACACAUGACACUUGGAAAUGCAACUGCAGUCGAACACCUACACUUGGACUUAUGAGCGAACUUGAUGCCACAUAUGCGGAAAAUUCAAACUGGAUGACAUUUUACAGUGUCAGGGUUAAAAGAACAGUUGAGAUAUAAGAAACUGCAAAUGCUGGAACUUGGAGCAACAGAGUAACUCAGAUUUGAUUUCCAUUGCCCGGGGAAGAAGUUUCUGUUCACUGAUCUGAGGGGACGGUGGCGGCUCCACACUGACGCGGAAUUCACUCAGCAGCAGGGCACAGAGUGAGCGGGAUUAAUUAAAAUCGAGUGCAACACGUCUUUGGGAGUUCAGCAAUUCAUAACGCAAUCACAAACAACACGUCUUCUCGCCUCUGGAGAUGCGUGCGGGCAGGCGCUUCACAGGGGAUGGAGCUUCAAUGGAGUUAAAUCAGAAUGGGCAGGGCCGAAGAAACUUCAACCAAGGCAAUCAAUUGGACGCUGCUAGGAACUGCCCUGGAUAAAAUAUAAGGGUAUCAUUAUUGCUUUCACAGCUUUUGAAUGCAUUUAUUUUAUUAUAAAAAUAUAUAAAAUGGAAAAGCGGACAGGUUUGGGUCUCUACUCGGCACAACAAAUCAGAUCAACAAACCCUUCACUCAGAUGAACUGAAGGGAAAAUACUCGUUUAUUGUUGUCAUAGCCUGACUUUUAUUGGGUAUAAAUGCCAUGAAAAAUAAGCGUUUUGCCCCAGCUGCACGGUUCCCUGACGACAGAUGCCACCUCGCUGAGAUAUUACCUAUUGUAGAUGUACAUGGAUGAUGGGGAGAGGUUGUGGAACUGGUUGAGUCCACAAUUCCCUGUUGGCUCUUGUAUUCCUGUGCAUUGGAGUUUUCAUACCAGGCCAUGAUGUAACAAUCAGAAUGCACAUUACAUCUGUAUCAAUGCUAUAACUGUACAAGAUAGUGGUGAGAUUGAACCUUAAGGUUGUCAUAGCUGGAGGGAAGAUAGUGGAGGUGGAUAAGCUCCCACUACCUAUUAAAUACUCCAGAUGGCGUGGGUCUGAAAUAGCCUCUGACAACCAGGUCCAGCUCCUGGCCUUCACGAGUAGCUUAGCUACAAAAAGCCCAGCUGAACCAUUUCUACUGACAGGAGAAGAGCCAAAGGUGGGUCUUAGAACCGGUUGCUUUAGGUAGAUGGGGCUCAUCAGCUAUGGUUGUUAGCUCAUCUAGGAGAAGGAAAACUCUGGUAUCAAAACUCCACUGCCUUGCGGCUAUACCCACUCAGUGAAGCUAUCAGGAGUACAUCCCGAGGAAGACCCAGAGCUAGAGUCCCCAGGGCAGUCCUACUUGGAGUUCAAAAAUGACUGGAAACUUCUGCGACACAGCUGGUGCCAAACAGUAUUGGUCUCUGCCGUUCCUUUGGAUUCAUAAGUUGUGUGGAGAGAGGGAGAGCAGCUUGCACUCCAUAUUGUACUGUCUGGGCUAGAACAGCUAGAACGCAACAGUCGUGGUCAACCUCGACCAACGGAAGGCCUCAAAAUGGGCCUAGUGUGUGUGCAGUUCUGAUCGCCUAGCAAAAAGAAAUACCUGAUCAAACUGAAUAGAGUGUGAGAAUUAUGAGAAACAGGGUUCCCUGAAAGCAGCAUCACAGGUAGAAAGGGUGGUGAAGGUGGUGUUUGGCACCCUUGUGUUUAUCAGAGGAGCUUUGAGUACAGGAACUAAGGUGCCAUGUUACUGCUCUUCAUCCGUGUCUUUAAAGGAGCACAUUUUAUUUUGAAACUGUUCUCUAAUUCCAGAUUCCCCUUAAAAAGGAUAAUAUCCUGCUAGCAUCCACAUUGUCAAAACUCUUCAGAAUUUUGUUUCAAUGAAUCAUCUCUGAUUCUUCUCAACUCCAACACAGGCCCAACCUGCUGUAUUGACCCUCAUAAUAUAACCCCUUCACCCUGAUCAAUCUUAUCUGAGCUGACUACAUUGCUGUAACAAGACUUGAAUCAUUCAUUCUCCACUCCAUUAGAGUUCGUAUUUAUUGUACUUGCAAGUGGACUGAACUUCGAAUACAUGGACACCCCCAUCCCUCUGCACAACAUUCUGUGAUCUCUCUCCAUUGAAACAACAGUUUGCUCUCUCUUCUUCCCUCCAAAACGGCCAAAUUCCCAUACCUCAACUGAAUGUUGGCAUAUUCACUUCAUCCAUUUAUACCCAAUUGAAAACUCAAGCCUCUUUCACACAGCUUACUUUCCCACCCAUCUCUGGAUGCAAUGGACUAAGUCCAUUCAUCUAAAACAUUAGUAUAGGCAAUACAUUCGUAUAGACUCAUGCCAUGGUGUUGCCUGAUGUCAGCCAUCAGGAGAGAGGUGUUGGAGCUGGUGUGCUGCACUGGGAGCAGUGUGACACAGCAUCCAGGCUGGUUUUGGUGCUUUCUCUCAGCAGAAAACAAGCUGUAUUGUGGUCGACUGCAGAUUUACGCAGCGUUCAUUGACUCGGUCUGGACUAUAUAAAUAUAUUUCUUGGCAUGGUUGUAUUUUACUGAUAUCUUAGAUGCUUGCUACCUUGCAUGGUUGAGGACCAGGCCUCAAGCCUGUUCACAGCCGUCAGGAGAGAAGCGUCAGAUGAUGCGCUCCAUCGGUGCUGCCCCCAUGUUCCUUCAGCAGAAGACAAGCUAUACUGAGGUCAAAUGCAGAUUUCAGCAGCAUUCUAUUUUUUUUGUAUGGCUAUAUCCUACUGAUAUCUUUAUCUGUUUGCUGUUUUGUGUGAGCUAUGUGUGCUUUGUACUUUGUGACUGUUGGUACUCUGUUUUGCACUUUGGUCCCAGAGUAACGCUGUCUCGUUUGGCUGUAUUCACGUAUGGUUGAAUGACAUUUACACUUGAAUUGAGAUGAAUAGUCCAGUCUUGUCAGUUUUCCACUCUGACAAUGAUCCAUUUAUUCCCAAUUCCUUUCUCCUAUUAGUUAGCAACUCUCUACCCAUGUAUCAGCUGUAUUGUCCUAUGACUUUAUUUUGUGUAUAAUCCAUUGUGGCACCUUUUAGGAUCCCAGUUACACUAAAUUUACUAAGCUCCCCCUUAAUCACCUUGCUAGUUUACUACAUUCUCAAAUAAAAAUUUCAGACAUGAUUUCCCUUUUACAAUAUUAGAUAUCUCACUGAUUUUUCUUUUUUUGUGUUAGGAUAAAUACAAUUCUUCACUU